This 501-nucleotide long non-coding RNA is filed under the name Bos taurus (domestic cattle). RNAcentral's name for it is "long non-coding RNA NONBTAT015757". Lineage: Eukaryota; Metazoa; Chordata; Mammalia; Artiodactyla; Bovidae. The record is from RNAcentral.
UUCAUGUCCAGUGAGCAGUGCUGUGUCCUUCCCUUGUAGCAUUUGGGAAUGAUUUACUGGAAUUACAAAACCUAUUUUCCUUUUAAAUUUCAGCUUUGGCUCUGGCUGCUUUUUAGAAUAAUGCAAGAUAAAAACCACAUCUGAGGGCUAAAAAAAAAAUGAAGAGGGAAUAGGAGACUUGAUAUUUAAGCAGCUUGAAUGGUUUCUUUUCUUUUCUUUAUUUUUAAAGAAAUGCACUUGCCUAUGAUACUGUCUCUCCAGUGAAAUGAUUACUCCUCCAUUACUCUAUUGAUACAAUAUUGUGCAUGCUAGUGUUGUAUUUCUAUACAGUAGCUUGAAAUUUAUUAACUUAUACUGUAGGUGUUAUGUAUUCCUAUGACAAAAAAAAAUUAAGUCUUCUUAUAACUAUUACAGUGUAGGAGAACACUGAAUAUGUUCUCUGAAUGAGCCUUUGUGCUUUUUGUCAUGUUAUGCAGUGAACUAUUUUUAAGGUCUAAUCAG